GGAGCAACAGGCCUGAUGAAGAAGAACCUGAAGAAAUACCUUGAGGCAAUCCCCGGUCACCCAAGUGCACAUGAGGUGCAGUUAUCAGCAAUUAAGCGAACGGUCUCCAUCUUGAAGAGAGCCCUCGGAUGCAAUGUCAGCAAAGUUUAAGGUGCAACUUUAGACCCUGGGUUUGGGACUCGUUACAUUCGUUAAAAAAGAAAAAAAAAAUCCAAGAGGAUAAAAGGUGGCUCAGUGUGUGUUGGAAAAACUGUGAAUAUGCCUUAUUUUGUUAUCACUUAAAUGUCUAAAGGAAUUUUCUUUAAUCUGAAGUAGAAGUAACCCGUGACAUGAUUAAUGCAGUGUCUAUCAUACGCAGUGUUCAGAUACAUGAGAUAUCUGAGGUCUUUGUCUUGCUUAGUCAGAGCAACAAGAAGUCUCUCAUGGUGUGAUUAAUGCAAUGUGUUUGUUUUUCAUACGCAGUGUUCAGAUACAUGAGGUAUCUCAGGUCUUUGUCUUGCUUAGUCAGGGCAACUAGAAAAAUACAAGCUGUUGCCACACAUUCACACGUGGUAUUUGUCAAUCUUAUUUUGCUGAUAGUGACACUAAAGAUUGUAACUGUCCUUGUUCCCAGGAGAGUCUGUGCUGUUAAUUUCUGCUUUGUAACCAUGGUAACCCUCACCCUUGUUUGCUUGAAUGAAUAAAAAGCUGAAGGAGAGUAUCACUCAGCAGAGACAGAAGGAAUUUGAUGCCUGAGUGAUACUCUCUCUCCUCGUGAGUAAAAGAGAAGCAAUGACUCCUGGUGUGUUUCUUUAUCAGGUUGACUAUGAUUUCUAUUACAGGGUGAACCUGACAGUGUGUCAGCAGAUUUGGAUUAAAAGGUGUGAAGGUGUGUUGUGUUUCGAUGUUUAUGGUGUUUAACCUGUCAGCAAGAUGUUGCAGUAGUCGAGGUGUGAGAUGGCGUCUGUCAGGAGUCCUGCUGCAUGCUGGGAGACUUUGUGAUUCUCUCAAUAUGUUGAAAUUGUACAUUUUGGGGAAAAUACAGACUUGUUUGAUUUAAAACAAACUCAUCCCAAUUUUUUCCUCCUUUUGUUCUUGAUGGAUUUUGAUUAUCAUGUUUUUGUUUGAUUCAUCAAAGCACCGGUCACAAUUCUUCCUCACAAAAUAUUAAAGUUUUGAAUUGUUUUGGGAAAUGUAGACAUUUUUUUAU
Molecule: long non-coding RNA, 1189 nt
Organism: Thalassophryne amazonica
Lineage: Eukaryota; Metazoa; Chordata; Actinopteri; Batrachoidiformes; Batrachoididae
Exons: 2
Source: RefSeq, a predicted model, not a curated record